RNAcentral lists this ribosomal RNA (468 nucleotides) under uncultured bacterium. RNAcentral describes it as "partial 16S ribosomal RNA". It matches the Rfam family "Bacterial small subunit ribosomal RNA", at positions 28 to 507 of the family's 1533-position model. The record is from RNAcentral.
GACGAACGCUGGCGGCGUGCUUAACACAUGCAAGUCGAACGGAAAGGCCCUGCUUUUGUGGGGUGCUCGAGUGGCGAACGGGUGAGUAACACGUGAGUAACCUGCCCUUGACUUUGGGAUAACUUCAGGAAACUGGGGCUAAUACCGGAUAGGAGCUCCUGCUGCAUGGUGGGGGUUGGAAAGUUUCGGCGGUUGGGGAUGGACUCGCGGCUUAUCAGCUUGUUGGUGGGGUAGUGGCUUACCAAGGCUUUGACGGGUAGCCGGCCUGAGAGGGUGACCGGCCACAUUGGGACUGGGAUACGGCCCAGACUCCUAAGGGAGGCAACAGGGGGGAAUAUUGCACAAUGGGCGGAAGGCUGAUGCAGCAACGCCGCGUGCGGGAUGACGGCCUUCGGGUUGUAAACCGCUUUCGCCUGUGACGAAGCGGGAGUGACGGUAAUGGGUAAAGAAGCACCGGCUAACUACGUG